CAGGAUGGCUGCGACCCGCUGCAGGAUCAGUGCGCUCCUCUCCUGAGCCGGGAACCUUUACCCUCCCUGUUCGGACCGCAGGGGCCCGGAACAGCAGGAAGAGACCUCUGCCCGCGAACUCAGAUCCCAGGAGGGCCGGUCAGACUCUGCAUGGGUGUCCAUUCAUGGGAGAGAGGAGACCCGUAUCAAUACUCACUUGAAACCACUCAACGCCUGGCGGCCUCUCGCACUGCAGAACUGACUGAUAUUGAUUCGGAUUGAGGCAUCUGCUGCAUUUUAGCAAGCGCCCUAUUUAAUCUCCGUGUCCUGUGCCGCUGUCUCGUCCUUGUCCCUUUUCAAAGUCACAGUGAUUUGGAACCCACUUAGGGCUUUUAGUUUGAUGGGCCGGCGCUCUGCAGCGCGCUGACCUCUAGACCGACCAGAGUUUCCCCCUUUUCUUUCUGCAAUUAUUUUUUCCUCCACAAUUUCCUUUUUGAAUAUUUAAACACGUAAAAAUGUAAGGUAACCAAAACAAACUACCAAAAGUAAAAAAUAAAAAAUAAAGCGUUGCAAGUUUUUUUGUAUACAACGCCCUUACAGAAUGAGAGUAAAAUGUCUGCAGAGUGUGGCUUUCAAACUACUGGACUGAGAUAAACGACAGGGGAGGGGGACCCCACAAUCCAGACAGCAACCAGCCGGUCGGUCCUCUCGGAGUAGGAGGAAGGCUGCAGCCCGCCAGGCUUUAGAGACCGGCCUGCCAACCAACCCUUCAGUGCACGCCUUAUAUUUAGUGUGGGGAAAAUUACCAAUCGGAAAUUUGGUCCACACAAACCCCGGGUUGGCAAGUAAAAUCCAGGCCCGGUUAUGGAUGCAGAGGUCGAAGGCAGCGAGCGUCGCUGCAUUUCCUGGUGGCUCCGUGACACAGCCAUCAAUAAUAUGGGCCGGCUUUAGGUCGCUGUUUGUAGACGGGUGAAGAACUUAAGCCGCCCACAGCAGCCUCUCAACCCCCUCCCCGAAGGUUUUCUCUUCCUGACCCUGAAAGUUGAGGGCAGCUCUGGGUGUGUUGUUGCCCAAGAGGAAACUGAGCAGCCUGCAGGUAGAACAGACGCAAAAAUGUGAAGCACGGACCUUCGUUGGGAAACGCAGUUUAAGAAAUGCAGCUAGAGCAUUUUCUAAAUCAGACGCUUACGUGCCUGACGUUAAUUUUCUGUGGGAUCCGACUCAAAGCUGGGUAUUUUGAAACACCUUUACUGGAACUAAUUGAUGGAGUUAAAGACAUAAUUAAAUUUUACAAGCUGAAAGAA
Cavia porcellus (domestic guinea pig) is the source of this 1283-nucleotide long non-coding RNA. RefSeq lists it as uncharacterized. The record is from RefSeq and is a predicted model, not a curated record. The transcript has 3 exons. Lineage: Eukaryota; Metazoa; Chordata; Mammalia; Rodentia; Caviidae.